This is a long non-coding RNA of Oncorhynchus mykiss (rainbow trout), 1625 nucleotides long. RefSeq lists it as uncharacterized. Lineage: Eukaryota; Metazoa; Chordata; Actinopteri; Salmoniformes; Salmonidae. The record is from RefSeq and is a predicted model, not a curated record.
UUGGCAGAAACUGUAGAUGUUCGAUGAGAAAGCAUGCGAGACGAAGUUCGUGGUAUGGUAGCCUGCCUAAUCAUGACGUGCCCACUACCCAGAGCUCUUUUUUGUAUCAGUCGCCCAUAUUCACUCUUUAGGGGUGUGCUUGAGAUAAAGAUUGCACAUAGUUUGCACUUACUUUUUUCAUCUCAACGUGUACUGUAGGCUAUUGUGAAGUUGACAAAAUAUUCCACCAUGCAUUCUUGUCUUGAAUACAAAGUUUAAACGCAGAAAUAGAUGAAGGAUUCCCUCUCUGGUCAGAUUUCUCAGCUGUGGCUGCUAGCUGACCCAUAACUACCCUAUCUCCCUCCACUGGGACGAUAACAUCUGCCGUGCCUCAGAGCUCUCCGGGACUGGUGCUAAGUGACCAUCAGCUGGCCUGAGAAUAUACAGUAUAUUGUGGCAGCUGCUGUAUCCUGUACUCCUCUGGUACUGCGAGGCCUCUGUCUAUUAUCUGGUGAGAAAAUCAUGUAAUGAGGACUAUCCCAGCUUCCUCCUGGUGCUUUCCAGCAACCCCUGGUCACAGUUAAAUGUUACAGGUUUCAACAUUGUGCCCGAGAUCAAGCAUUAACACCGUCUAGGUUCAGAGAUAUGCGAUGGAUGUCCCUGGGAGCACGGUACAGAGUUAAUAAGAAAAUCAUUAUUCUACCCCACUCUGACUGUGUCUUCCAAGCACACUGAUAAGGGUGUCCUGGGGGUGACCAUCGAAACAUACCUAAUGAGAACGUAGCUGUAAGGCAGGCUUUGGAUCCACUGUGGGAGUGUACAUACAGUGCUGCUGCCUGAUGAGAGAGCCGUGUGAAGCUUCCUUUCACUUGUGACAAAGUGCCCACUUUCAUCCCUCCUUCACUCUACACGUGUGAGGCUUUUUAGCAGGUCCCACAACUUCAUGAAUGGUAAUGCUGGGCAGGUCCUGCUUAAUCAGGACGUGGGAGGCUGUAAGCGAGGCUGAUUGGCAGUGAGAUUCCCAUAGGUGUGGGGACCCUAGCCUGUGGUCUACCUGCUGUUGCUUCCUGAUUGCUUACUAUAUACUCUCAGUGGGACAGCGAGAACAACCUUCCCUGGAAACAGAGAGUCCUUCUGGCUUAACACCUGCCCUUGUUGCUGCUCAUUUGAUACAAUCCAGUGAAAUUGUGUUUACCAACAAGACAAGCAGGACUGAGAAAGAAUAUUAGUGCACACACAAUUAAUAGACACUAAAUGUUUUAAAUAGGCCUAAACAUAGAAUAUAUAUGUUCAUGGUUAAUGGUUAAGAAAUGUGCAUGCAGGUACACUAUAUUUAAGACCAGAAAGAAUUACAGUGCAACAUGAUUUCACAAAUGCACUGCUUGAGUCUGAGGUUACUAUUGAGGUUUUUACAGUCUUGAACAUUUUGUUGUCAAGUAAACAAUAAUGGACCAAUUGAGAAUGUUGUUGUCUUGUCUCGCAGAGUAUGACAGUGCAAAACCCAUCUUUAAUGGAUGGGCAAAAGACUAGAAUAUUUUAGGACUGUAAGUCAAGACAGAGUGCCGAUGUUUAAACUGAAUUACAUGUGGAUUGAGUGGCCUUUUAUCAAUGCAGUUGUUCUGUUGAGAUUCUUCUGGCAGUCUCCU